GUGGGGAAUAUUGGACAAUGGGCGAAAGCCUGAUCCAGCAAUGCCGCGUGAGUGAUGAAGGCCUUAGGGUUGUAAAGCUCUUUUACCCGGGAAGAUAAUGACUGUACCGGGAGAAUAAGCCCCGGCUAACUCCGUGCCAGCAGCCGCGGUAAUACGGAGGGGGCUAGCGUUGUUCGGAAUUACUGGGCGUAAAGCGCACGUAGGCGGUUUUGUAAGUUAGAGGUGAAAGCCUGGGGCUCAACCCCAGAAUUGCCUUUAAGACUGCAUCACUUGAACGUCGGAGAGGUGAGUGGAAUUCCGAGUGUAGAGGUGAAAUUCGUAGAUAUUCGGAAGAACACCAGUGGCGAAGGCGGCUCACUGGACAGGUAUUGACGCUGAGGUGCGAAAGCGUGGGGAGCAAACAGGAUUAGAUACCCCGGUAGUCC
RNAcentral lists this ribosomal RNA (425 nucleotides) under uncultured bacterium. RNAcentral describes it as "partial 16S ribosomal RNA". It matches the Rfam family "Bacterial small subunit ribosomal RNA", at positions 354 to 796 of the family's 1533-position model. The record is from RNAcentral.